CCGCGCCUGAUUAUCCGCACUCGCUGGUCUCGGAGCGCGCGCCCGAUUAGGCGCCCAUGGCCGCGCACAGCUGCGGGCCCGCGCCGCGGGCACACGCCUCCGUCCCGCUCGCUCCCGAGUUGCGGGCCGCGCCCAGGAGCCGGGUGGCUCGCGUCACGCAGAGGCCUCAAUAAAGGGCUUUGUGGUGCCAGUCCCGCCCGCCGGGGGCUAGGGGAGCCAAGCCCGGGACGGAGUCCCACGGGGGCCCUCGGGUUAAGCGGCCAAGGCUCGCACACCCUUGACGGAACAAAACUUGGGAGCGAAAGAGAUGGUCCUUGUGAGGAAUAAAGAUCAUGUCUGUCAUUUCUCUGCCAACAUGAAAAGCUCUUUUAGAGUUUUUCACAGCAACAUGCAAAAAGAAUGAAACUGGGACAGCCACAUGCAGAAAAAUGAAAUUGGACCAUUUCCUUACACCACACACGAAAAUAGACUCAAAUGGAUGAAGGACCUCAAUGUGAGAAAGGAAUCCAUCAAAAUCCUUGAGGAGAACAUAGGCAGCAACCUCUUCGACCUCAGCCGCAGCAACAUCUUCCUAGGAACAUCGCCAAAGGCAAGGGAAGCAAGGGCAAAAAUGAACUAUUGGGAUUUUAUCAAGAUCAAAAGCUUUUGCACAGCAAAGGAAACAGUUAACAAAACCAAAAGACAACUGACAGAAUGGGAGAAGAUAUUUGCAAACGAUAUAUCAGAUAAAGACCUAGUGUCCAAAAUCUAUAAAGAACUUAACAAACUCAACACCCAAAGAACAACUAAUCCAAUCAAAAAAUGGGCAGAGGACAUGAACAGACAUUUCUGCAAAGAAGACAUCCAGAUGGCCAACAGACACAUGAAAAAGUGCUCCAUAUCACUCGGCAUCAGGGAAAUACAAAUCAAAACCACAAUGAGAUAUCACCUCACACCAGUCAGAAUGGCUAAAAUCAACAAGUCAGGAAAUGACAGAUGCUGGCGAGGAUGCGGAGAAAGGGGAACCCUCCUACACUGUUGGUGGGAAUGCAAGCUGUGCAACCACUCUGGAAAACAGCAUGGAAGUUCCUCAAAAUGCUGAAAAUAGAGCUACCCUAUGACCCAGCAAUAGCACUACUGGGUAUUUACCCUAAAGAUACAAACGUAGUGAUCCGAAGGGGCAUGUGCCCCCGAGUGUUUAUAGCAGCAAUGUCCACAAUAGCCAAACUAUGGAAAGAACCUAAAUGUCCAUCAACAGAUGAAUGGAUAAAGAAGAUGUGGUAUAUAUACACAAUGGAAUACUAUGCAGCCAUCCAAAGAAAUGAAAUCUUGGCAUUUGCGACAACGUGGAUGAAAUUAGAGCGUAUUAUGCUUAGCGAAAUAUGUCAAGCAGAGAAAGACAACUAUCAUCUGAUCUCCCUGAUAUGAGGAAGUGGUGAUGCAACAUGGGGGCUUAAGUGGGUAGUAGAAGAAUAAAUGAAACAAGAUGGGAUUGGGAGGGAGACAAACCGUAAGUGACUCUUAAUUUCACAAAACAAACUGAGGGUUGCUGAGGGGAGGGGAGUUGGGAGAAGGGGGGUGGGGUUAUGGACAUCAGGGAAGGUAUGUGCUUUGGUGAGUGCUGUGAAGUGUGUAAACCUGGCGAUUCACAGACCUGUACCCGUGGGGAUAAAAAUACAUUGAUAAAUAUUUUAUCAGAAAUAAAAAAUUAGAAAUUUAAAAAAAAAGAGAAUGAAACUGAACCACUUUUUUACACCAUAUACAAAAAUAAAUUCAAAAUGGAUUAAAGACUUAAAUGUAAGACCUGAAACCAUAAAAUUCCUAGAAGAAAACAUAGGAGGUAAACUCUGUGACAUCACUUUUAGCAAUAUUUUUUUGGAUCUAUCUCCGGAGGCAAAAACAGCAAAAGCAAAAAUAAACUAUUGUGACUACAUCAAACUAAAAAGCUUUUGCAAAGCAAAGGAAACCAUCAACAAAACAAAAAGAGAGUCUACCAAAUGGUAAAAGAUGUUUGUAAAUUAUAUAUAUCCCAUACAUGGUUAACAUCCAAAAUAUAUAAAGAGCUCAUAGAACUCAAUAUCAGAAAUACAAACAGUCCAAUUAAAAAAUGGACAAAGAGGUCACCUGGGUGGUACAGUUGGUUAAGAAUCUAACUCUUGGUUUCGGCUCAGGUUGUGAGAUCAAGCCCUGUGUCGGGCUCUGCAUUCAAGGUGGAGUCUGCUUGGGACUCUUGCUCCCUCCCCCUCUCCCCCCAACUUUUCUAAAAUAAAGAAAUAAAUAAAUCUUUUUCCAAAAAACGGACAGGGGCUCUGAAUACACAUUUUUUCAUAGAAGACAUCCAGAUAGCCAACAGACACAAAGAUACUAAAUAUCACUAACCAUCAGGGAAGUGCAAAUCAAAACCUCAAUGAGGUAUCACCCAACAAGGGUCAGAAUGGCUAGUGUCAAAAAGACAAGGGAAAAAAAGAUAAGAAAUUACAAGUGUUGACAAGGAAGAGGAGAAAAGGAAACUUUUGUGGGAAUGUACAUUGGUGCACCCACUGUGGAAAACAAUAUGGAGGUUCCUCAAAAAGUUAAAAGUAGAAAUACCAUAUGAUCCAGCAAUUCCACUUCUGGAUAUUUAGCCUAAG
This is a long non-coding RNA of Mustela lutreola (European mink), 2609 nucleotides long. RefSeq lists it as uncharacterized. Lineage: Eukaryota; Metazoa; Chordata; Mammalia; Carnivora; Mustelidae. The record is from RefSeq and is a predicted model, not a curated record. The transcript is spliced from 3 exons.